CGUAACCUAGCUUCCAAGAACAGCAGCGCUGAAGCGAGGAAAUCGGUGCUGCAGCCUUGAGACUAAAGAAUCGGAAGAUCUGUGAGGAAGGCUUGUGACGAAGGAAUCGGAGACUCUCCUGCAAGGAAGCUUCCUCUUCCCGUAACAGAAACGCCAGCCACAGCUAGAAAUAAGGGUCGUGGUGCAGAUUGAGGAUUCGCGGUUUUCGACUGGGAGUAACACGCAAAAGCUGGAAGUGUUGAUUGGUGAGUUUCCGCACGAUAGGAGCUAGAGAUUCAACCGUCAAAGACUGGAUCAAAGUUCGCUGGAGCUAUGGUGAUCGGCUGGGGCAGAAAGCAGUGAAUCGCAAGGCUCGACGACGAGUUGAAGCUUCGGAAGUGUUAGGUUGUUAAGCUGCCACUUAUUUCGUUAACUUCCCGUUACUCUUGUUCUCUGAAUUCAUUUUGAAAUUAUAAUCACCUACAUGCAUUUAGCUAUUGAUUAAGAUUACUACUGCAUGCGUCUGAAUUCAGUAAUUGUUACUAUUGUUCAUUAUAGCCAAAAAUACUUUACAACACUCAGCAUUGUUAACUUGUGGUUAAGGUUGGGUAAUCACUUUUCAUUGUCUCAACACAGAUAUUGCUUAACGGUGAUUCAAAUAAAGAGGAUCAGAUUCCAACAGAUGGAUGAGCUGCCGUUGGUGCGAUAAUAUGGUAGCUUUCUGACCAUUGAUGAUGCGAUAGGACAAAUUAUUGCUUGGCCAUCAUUUUUCGUAAGUAGAGUAAUUAUUGUUUUUGUAAUUAUUAAGAAGUUAAUUGAAGUUUUAACUGAAAUCGGAAUAUGACAACUGGUGAAGAAGAUAUUUUUUUAAGAGUGAGAUUAGAGCUACUCUCUAUGAAGUAUUAUAGUUUUAAAUUGAACAUUUGUCAUUUUUUGUUGAACUUUGUAUUGGGAUGUUUUACACUUUUUAGUUAUUUCAUAUAAUUUUGGAUUAUUUUAUAAUAUCAAG
RNAcentral lists this long non-coding RNA (988 nucleotides) under Linum usitatissimum (flax). RNAcentral describes it as "long non-coding RNA (LUSI_LNC003754)". Lineage: Eukaryota; Viridiplantae; Streptophyta; Magnoliopsida; Malpighiales; Linaceae. The record is from RNAcentral.